CAUUGACAUAAGGUCAAGAGCUUUUCUUUGAGUAUUUUAUACAGAACAAAGUUCUUUGUUUUCUUUUUCUGUAAAGCACAUCAAUAAUUCACCUUUCAUAAUGAACAGGCUCAGUAUCAUUAAAAGGGAGUGAGAGCUUAAAACACAUGGAAAGCAAGUUGAGCGCAGAAUUCUUUUAGAUUUUCAUGAUUUCCCCCCAAAUAUUUUGCAGCUUCCUUCUUAAUUCAGCAACAGUACCCCAGAGUGCAGAUCUGCUGUGAGAUGCGUGUACAGUGUUCACUGUGUCCUUUGCAUCUGCCAGUGGCCCUCACAGAGAGAGUGAAAUACAGGAGCUAAUCGGCCCCUGAUUCAUCAAGAGACAUUUUAAAGACAUGGAAUGUGGGUAACGAAUGCUGCCAUAUCAUCAGUAAGUCUAUUAAUACCUCAUUUAGCACUAUAUUUCUCACAGGAGCUACGAAGUGUUUUUUUCCUUUUAGAAACGAUGUAAGUGGGGCAGGGGAUUUAGCUCAGUGGUUCUGCUGCCUGCUUCACAAGCCCAAGGAAGCGAGUUUGAUCCCCGGUACCAAAAAAAAAAAAAAAGAUUUAGAAACAAUGUAAGUAUUAGUAGGUGAGUGGAUACAGAUGGAACAAAAUAUGAUAUUUAAAAUACUUUUUAAUGAAAGCCUUAUUAUAAAACUAGGAAAAAAUAUCAUCUAAUAUAUUUCUGGG
This 708-nucleotide long non-coding RNA is filed under the name Fukomys damarensis (Damara mole-rat). RNAcentral's name for it is "lncRNA (ENSFDAG00000027511.1)". The record is from RNAcentral. Lineage: Eukaryota; Metazoa; Chordata; Mammalia; Rodentia; Bathyergidae.